Molecule: RNA transcript, 9611 nt
Organism: Cygnus olor (mute swan)
Lineage: Eukaryota; Metazoa; Chordata; Aves; Anseriformes; Anatidae
Gene: TMEM156
Gene name: transmembrane protein 156
Exons: 9
Source: RefSeq, a predicted model, not a curated record
CACACUCAGUUCCUUGUACUUAAAACAUUGUUUAUUUACUAGAUUAGAAUUUUAAUGAUCAAAUUAAUAGUUUAUUCAAGUCUUAAAGAUACUGUAUUAUGUCAAAUUAUAACACGCACACAUGCCAGCCCCAGGGCAUAGGUAUAUAAAUAAAACAAUAAAAUCUCCAUAUCUGACUCAUCUGGCUCUGACUGAUUUUUAUAAUGUGGUUCUGACUCACUUUUUAAAGAAUCUUCUUGGCCAAGUGAGAAUAAAAUUCCUUCACAAAGAUGAUUACGUUGUUGUUCAGAAGGUAUAUGAAAGUGGCCAUUAGGGGGUGAUGUUCCUAGAACAAAAUUGCCCCAAAUGAGUAAAAUGGUUUCUGUGCAUUUUUCUCAUAUUUUCAUCCCAGUACAUUAGUUUUAUCUUCAUUUUAUUCAUUUGAAUCAUGCGCAGCCAUACCAGUGUAAGAACAGAAGUUACCUCUCUUCAACUUAACGUAGCAUGAAGUAAAAAGAAAAGUCAUAUGAGAAAAAGGAAAUGGAUAGAUGUUAUUUUGCAUAAAGCCUGCACUAAGUUAAAAGCUAAACCAGGAAGUUACCACCACUAUGCUAGAUGGAAGCGCUUCAGUGGCAUGUGCUUGAUUUUGAGAAAAUCAGAACUCUUCAGAUUAGUACUAGGAGUACUUACCAUGUUUAUUUUAUGCUUACCUGAAUUUUUCAAAAUCCAUGAAGCUAACACUAUCAUUGUUUCGUGCGUGGAUACCUGUUCAUUAAGUAACACCACUUUUCCACUUUGCACUUUUAAUAAUUCUUGCAAAAGAUCACUGCAACAAAGAAGAGAAAACCAGACUAUCUUACUGAAGACCAUUGUAAAUCAUUCCAGUUUCCAAAAUAUUCCAUGUAUUUGCCAGUCCUCUAGUAGGGAACAACAAUCACAUACUAAAUACUCAGAAUGUGAAUCCAACAGAGAUGUGGAUGUUGAUCAUCAAGGAUCAGGAGUUAUAACUAAAAAAAAUCCAAAAGAAAAAGGCUCAUUGGAAGAGCAAACAGAAGAUGUUAUUUAUUUUUACAAAUAUUUUAAUUUCACUAUGCUUCAUGCAAAUGAAGAAGUAGAGGAUAAUAUCUUCUAUAUGCUGGAAAUCCGCAUCGACAACUCUACAGUCAGAGGAAGAAAUGCAGCUGAAGAAUACCUAAAUCACUCCUGUCUAGCAGCAAUGAUCGACGACCAAAAUGACUGCAUAAAUAUUUCACUGCAACUGGAGUCUUACGUGGAAUAUCCAAUGUGUAUGGCGAAGAUCAUUUGGCUCAGUAUGAUUCUAGUCAUCAUUGUGUUUACUAUUUCAAUCGUCAUCUACAAAAUAGUUCAUGAAAAUGGACAAAACUAUUGUAAACACAGAGGAGCAGCAGCAGUUUAUACUAUUCAAAGCAAAAAAGAUUCCAGACAUGCAAUAACAACCGUUUCUGCUACUAAAAUUCAUCUUUUUCCUGUGAAGACCAACGAACAACAGGUUCCACUUACUGCACAGGCCAGGAAGGUACUGCCCAUAAUUCCUGAACAAGAACAUUGUCAUCUGAGUGCAUCAGCUGUAGAAGAACAUCAAGUCCUAGACUUCAGCGUUGUGCUGACAUUUGUUUCUGACAAGAGCAGAAGAAAGAAGCAUUUUUCAGAUGAUCUCUGAAGAGAAUCAUGUGUUUGAAAUAAAUAGUGAGCUGGUAAAAUUCACAAAAUAAAAGAAAAUAAUUGCUCUGUUAUUACACCAGCCAGCAUAAGUGAUAAGAAGUUGGUUUUAGCUUGGAACUAAAACUAGUACGCCACUUCUAACUUUCUUCAGCCGUUGUACUCCAAUAAUUGUUUCAGGAAGUCCAGAUGUAAUUAAACAAGUUGGAAGAGAAAUGUACAGUAAGAGAUUCCUUUUUCUGGCAAUACUUGCAAUGCCUAGAAGCUCAAAUUACUCAAAUGAGUGAUACAGACUAAUUUAUCAGUUGCAUACUUGGGGUUAUGGCUAUUUGCAUAGAUUUAUAUUACUGCACAUGGUGAGUUUUUUAGGUUAAAAGCAUAAGAAGUCAUUCUCUACAUAUAUUUAAAUUGGAUGGAGUUAUAUUGAAAAUGCAGUAUUGUAUCAUACUAUCUUUUUAAUGUGUUAAAAAAGUUGAUGUAUGGUGUGGUUUUGUGCCUCACAUGGACCCAUAAACAGUGAGGUUGUAUGUUGACAGCAGACCUAAAGAAGCAAUUUGGAACAGCAUUGUUGGCAAAAGGUGAGGUACUUUCACAGUAAAUUAAUAAUUGAGCUAGGCUAUUGUUUGGCUUCUGAGAGAGACUAGCUGUGUUACGGGACAGCAUAAUGUCAUAAUUAAAAAUGCUGACAACUUUUUAAUGGCACCCAUCCACAGAUCUUACGAUGACUUGUAAAGAUGGAAAGUUGGCAUUGUUACCAUCCUAAAAUGAGGCUAUCAGGAGGCAGAGAAAGAUAACUUGACUUGGGAAGUCAGUGACAUAGGCAACAGCAGUUCUCAGAUCACCUGUCUUCAUCUGUUUGCCGUUUGGAUGUCAUGAGCUUUCUAAGAGCCCCAUCAACCUUUCCGUAGGACACUUUCCUUUCUUCAGGGACUUCUCCCACCCACUUCAGUACAAGCCCUCUUCUUUUUCUGAUAGGUGUCAACUAUCUUGCGGGUAAUAUCUUCCUGGGCCCCUGUCUGCCAUGUACCUGCCCACCUUAAUUGUUCCCUGUGAAGAGAGGCAGCAUUUACUCUUGGGUUAGAAAUAGAUAUUUCUGAGGUUGCAAUAGCAUGUAUUACUGAAGGGGUGGGUGCUCAGUAGUGUUCAGUGCCUUCAUUUAUCCUGUAUAGUGGUUGAGCAGUAGCAAACUAUGUCUGUCCAGGAUAUUGGCUUCACCAAAAAUCUUUUAGAAGCAGGAAGCAAAAUGCUGUGCAUUUGCUUGUGUGCUCCAUUUCCAUGCAAAUUUAACUUCUGUGUUCCUGGAAGUAAGAGUAACCAUUCAGACUGACCUGCUAGUACUCCUUAAGCUGUUAUUGUAUUGCAUGUUAUGUAUUAAAGGGUAAAAAGGAGAGAUGGAGCAGCUUUGCAGAUUUUUUGAUUGCUCUGUGAGGUAAUAUAUGAAAUUCAGGACAUUCUGGGAUGAAGUAAUCCAUUUGCUUAACUCUGGGCCUGUCACUGAAAGAUUGGCUGUCCUGAGAAACCCCAAAUAUCUUGUUCCAGUGCUGUGCUGUACUGAAGCAGGCUUGUUUUCCUGGGCAUAACACAAUCUUCCUGUAAGAACCACUGCUGGCAGUGAGGUGAAAUGGAUGUGAUGCUUGGGAUUAAUGCUUGAUAGUAUUUUAAUGUUACGUGACAUUGUGUGGAAAGAUUAUUAAAGGGUGUGGCUGGAGAAGGACUAACUUGUGCCUGGGGAGACAAGAACUUAGAUCUAGAUCUUGCCUUUUGUUGCAACUGGGUUUUGAAUAAUAUUUCUCACAGGAAUACUGUCUCGAAGCUAAAUACUCUGCAGAACCAACAAACGCACUUCCUGUUUAGUCUUGCUUCAUUUCCUGCAAAGAAACACUUCCCCCUUCCUCCAAAAAGUCUAAAAGCAGGCGGACACACCACCUCACGUGUGGGCUGGUCGGCACAAGAGCUCAGUGGCGCCACAUGAAGUACAGUUCCAACUGCAUGAAAGGAGAAACAUAAUACACCACAGAAGAAAGCAUGUCCAUUUCCAGUCUGGGGAGCUCUGUUAUCCGUCUUCUCAUGAGAAUGCCAACUGCGCAGUUUAGUUGAGAAGCUUCAUUUUAUCUAUCAGGACUACCUGGUAUUAAGAAAAUAUGAAUAAUGGACAAACACAUUUUGCUGUAGAAUCAACUUCAGUAGGAAAUUAUAGAUUUCCCAUCUAUUUUCUGUUCAUUCAGGAUUUGAUGCUUAAUCAUAAGGCUGUGAGAUAAUCCUUGCAAUAAUUUAUUUUUCCAGCUGGGAAGAAAUUUAUCUUCUCCACAGGAUAAAAUCCUGAUUGAAGGUAGAAAUGAACCUAUAUUUUCAUGAAAUGAACAUAGUUUUCACCUUUUUAAUGCUCUAGGUGACUAAGAUGCUUAAGAGAGAAUUUCUGGCUGAUGAGGAGAGUGGCCAAAGGAACAGAGAAGGAGGGAGUUCUGCAGUACAUUUUAAUUUCUGCAGUAAACCAUGAAGACAUUCAUAAAUUCUGCAACAUCUUGGUGGAUAAAGAAGAAAAAUGUGGAAAAAAAAUAUACAUUUGGCUUCAAUCCACUAAAUUGUUAUUGUUAUUAUUUUUUUUAUAACUCAUUAAGACACCAAAUGGGUUUUAUACUCUUUGAUAAAUUGCAUUUCCAUCUUUUGUAUUAGCUUAGGUCAUUAGUAUUCAGACUUAUUGUCUCCUGGAACUUUUCCUUACUUUCCAUUUAUUGCUGCUCCUCUGAGUGUAGUGGAGCUGUUUGGGCUGAGCAGGGUCCCAAACUCAUUCGGUGCUAACCCAUUAUUUGUGGGUACAAUCUGACCAUAAAUUACUAGGCAGAGACAGAAAUUGCAGAGCUAGGACUUCAGACUCCCUUGUGCUAAAUCCAUCAGGAUGAACAGAUUGUAAACUGCCCAUUGCAAAUAUGAUAUGCAGCAAUUUAGCAUCAUGUUAAUACUUCAUAACCUCCAUCCCUUACAUUUAUAUAGCUUUUCCCUCCUGAAGCUUUCUGAAAUUGCUUAUCCAGUCAUUACACUGCACCAAGCAGUUCAGAUUUAAUAGGAAUAGUUGUGAACAUUAGCUUCUGAGUGAUUUGAGACCAUAUGGAAUUUUUAAAAUUUAGUUGGAUAAAUUGGAAGCAUUUGUUUCUAUUGUUCGUUACCAUCUUUUAUAAAAAAAACAAACAGACAAGAAAAAUACUGUCUUUCUUGAUUGGGGGGCUUUUGAGGCUUUAUUGCUUGUCUAUGGUAAUAACUUAAGGCUUUUCAGAAAUUCAUUUUCUAAUGCAUCCUAUAAACUUCUCACAUUUUUUAUUAUUAUUAUUUUUCCUUACCUUACUGUAGAACGACACCUUACAGAUUACGGAAGCGAAAUAUCUAUCUCAAACCACUGCAGAAUUGCUAAGGCCAUUUCAGCCAGUGUGUAAAUGCUUCCUUCAAAUGAUGGCACUAUCUAUCAGUCUUCCCCUUCAGUAAUCCAGGGAUCUUGAUAGUAGGGACAGCCCUGCUCCUUGUGACCCCGAUUUAAUUUCCUUCCUCCUGUAAUUUAAUUCUAUUUUUCUUGUUGCCUGUAACUCCCCCUUUUCUUUUCCUUGGAUGGCUGAACUGUCCCUUUAUUACCCCCACUUAUCCCACAGCUUCCCAGGUGUUUGGUCUCACUACCUUGGAAGUUUGCAUCUCCCGAGUUACCUCUGCAAAACACCACCACCAAGUAAAACCAAGAGGCUCUUACAAGCCUUUAAUCUGUUGAGUAGAGCUUACCGUGUCCUGCAAGCAUGAUCCAAGCCACAGGAAAGCACGGCCUCUCAGCCUCUAAUGGGGGCAGCUCCUCCAGCACCAGCUGCCCUGCCUGGUGCCCCUCUGCUGAGCUCACCCCAGUUCACUGACGCAUUUCUUGUACUGGGGAGUCCCAAACCAGAUGCAGUGCUGGAGUCGUGGUCUCAUGCAUGCCCAGGUGGAUAACUGACUCUCUUGACCGACUGGCAGUGCUCCUUUUACUGCAGCUGAGGAGGCUGUCGGCCUGCUUUCUGCCUGGGCACGCUGCUGGCUCACGCCCGACUCACUCCUCACCAUGGCCCCGAGGUCCUUUGUAGCAGAGCUCUCCCUGGUCAGCCUGUCAGAGCAGUGACACCGUUCUUUCACACCAUUCAUGAAGAAGUGUGAUUCUGGGAUGUAUGUAUACAAGUUCCCUUCAUUUCCCCUCCCUGUUGGCAAGGUCCUGCUGUUAAGUCUCCUUUUUACAAGGGUCUGUCUUACUUUUUUUUUUUUUAACUUCUGCAUUAUUGCACUGUCACGGAAGAAAUACUCUUUCACUCCCUGGGUAAAAUAUUUGAAAGGCAGAGCAAAUGGCUAGUGCUUGUUCCUGAGUCUGCUAGAGCAGCUGCUCGAGAGUCUGUAAGAGAAGCCGUGAAAAGGAGAUCAAAGUGGGGAGAGUAGUAAGUUCUUAGCAGAUCUGUGCUCAGAGACUUUUGGGGUACAGGUAAUAAAGGGAGAAUGAGCUCUGCAGAUCUAGUGUGAUCAAUUUUGCUGUCUUCUUUCCUCUCAGUUUUACCUCUUUGAAUGUUCUUAUCUUUGCCUCACUUCCUUCAACUUCAUGCAGAUUUUUCUUUUACUUCAGAAGUGCUGUUAUUCCAGUUCUGCUGGAACUAAUCAGAUGUCAUUUCUUGUUUAUUUUGAACAAUGCUGAAAAAUUCUUUGAAAAAGUCUUUUCUUUAAUCCAACCUUGAAAAUUGUUCCUAUUUCCAGAGAGUAUGUCAUUGCUGGUUUUUUUUGUGCCUUUGAAAAAUCAUCUUCCCUCUCCUAUCUGUUUAAGACAGCUCAACUUUUGACAUUUUAUUUUCUGUUUUCUUAAUUCCAAAGCUGCACACCAUCAUCAAUAGACUUCUAGAAAUACUGACUGUUGUGAAUGCUGGGGUAGGUGUCCAAGCAUGGAGAACGUACAGGUUGCACAAUAAAAGCAGCUGUUUGUGUCCUCAUAGUCUCAGCAACAAAGGUUGACCUGAGCCAGAAAAAAAAAAAUGUUUAAAGUCCAGAGGGCUUUCCAGUCAGACUGUAGGAAUCUCAAAAGUAGGUCAGGCUGGCCGAUGGUGUCACUUUAAGCCUUGCUCUGAGAUGGCUUUUAAAAGAACUUGGGAAAGCCAUUUUCCACUCUUUACACUCUUUUGAGUCAAACUGAAAGGACAGGGCUGUCAUUUGAGAUAGAAGUGGAACGUCUCAAAGAUAAUCCUAUGAGCAGAGUGACUGCUUGUAUGCUAAAAAACACUCCUGUGAUUCAGAAAAAAAGGUGAAAAUCUGUAUUUGUCACUCAAAAUGCUGUGGGGUUUCAGACUCAUUGAUGUUGUUAUGCAUCCUGACCGGUGGUGACACUGGAAACAUCAUUAAAAAACACCUCAUCUUGUGAUGGCUGUAAUUUUGUAUUGUCUGCUUAGGGCACAUUGUAGAGAAAGAUCUUCAUGGCUUCAAUGGAUGAUCUAAGCAACAUGAAAGAAACGGGAGAGACAGUUCUUUUGUUUAGCUGUCUGAGGCAGUGGAUGCAGGAGUGUUGGAGCAAAUCAUAGGGAAGAGAUGUUUACACAUGAAUAGACUACACCCUGAAAAGCAGCAAAGAAAUUACAGCUUGCUUUGUUUGCCAAAAAAAAUGCAAAUACCUUUAAUAUAUGAAUACAAUAAGUGACCUGUCUCAUAGUUUACUUCACUGAUGACGUAUGACAGUGGAUUAUUUGUGAGUCUGUAGGUGUGCAGACACUGCUUUAAGUUUCACCUUGACACAUUUCUCAACUUUGCGUGCUCAAAAGCCUGCCUCAGCCAAAGCUCUCUUCUCUGCAUACAAAAGGGUACUCAAAAGUGAGAAAAUUGUUAUGAAAAACACAUCUGCUCAAGAUAACAGGUAAUUUCACAAUUGAAGUUAUUUUUUUUAAAUAAGUACCUAAAACCUAGUAGUUUGACAAAUGCCAGAGCACACUCAGUGUACUGACCUGGAAAAAGGUGGUGAUGAAAGAAGGAACAGUCAGUCUCCCUUAAAAGUUUAAGGCUUGCAUCUGUCUUUGCCAGACUCUCAAUAAAAUCACUCAUUCCAAACGUAAAUCACAAAAUCAGAAACUUCACUGAGUACAUCUACCCAUCACAUUAUUCAUAACAUUAUUUUUUAGCACACUGCCCCAGUUCAACAUCUCAAAUGAUUUAUUUGACUGAUGGAAAAAUACAAACCAGUGUAAACAAAAUAUUCUGGUUACAUCUACACAGUACUCUUCUACUGAAAUAUUACUUACCUAAAAUUGAUUUAAAGAUUGUGCAUUCAGUUUUCCUGGGAUAAAUCUUUGAUCAGAUGGAGUAUCCCUAUGCUCCUGUUUGCCCCUGUUUCUCUUCCUACAUUGUACGGAUGUGAAUACUCAAUUCUACGUGUUAUUUUUUAUAACUUCUUUUACUUUAAGGAAGGUACUUUAAUCAAUACAUACAUAAUUUAAGGAAGACAGACCUCUCCUAAGGAAUAUGUCAGACAAGCAAUCCUUGUCUUAAGAACGUCCCUCAAUGAUUUCAAACACGAUCCCCUGAGGCUUCUAAUACUGUAUUGUUCAGCCUCUACUAAAAAGCACCACUAUUAGUUAUCACAUUUUUCUGACAGGUUUAACACUAUAUAGUCUGCACCGCAUUUCAGAGAAAAAAAAAAAACAUAAGAAAAAGUUACUAAAAUCAUUUAUGUCAGAAAACAUGAACUUGGCAUAGGAGCAAUAUAAAAGAGCUAUUGCUAUGUUCUUUGGAUGAUUCCCUGGGCAGUAAUACCACACAUACAGGUACCUGAUGUAGAGCUCUAUUCCAACGUGGGCAGAAAGGCUUCUUGACAAAAAGUUAUGAUCAAAUUAAAGCAAAAACUCCAACAUGUAAUGAUUGAUAGUCGUAAGCACUAGACUUUCUUAUCAGUCCUUGUUCGAAAAAUAAACAAGGUUUUAACCACAUAUAUUAUUCUGCUUGCCAGUGUAGAACAACAGAAAGAAAGCUUUAAACAAACAGGACUUUUUACAAGCCAUUCAAUGUUUAAACUGGGGUCCAGAUCCACAACUGAAAACUGCUCAUGGCCAAGCACAUGGAAAAAGCACAUGGUCUUCAGAAAUCCACACUAAGGAGUUGUUCUUCUGGGCCAAGUGUAUAUAGAGGAAUAACCCCUGGUCAAGGAGGACUCGUGCAUGUGCACAUCUCUUCCAGUAGCCAGAAAGGACUACUAUAGAAGAGUACAUUUAUUCCCAAAGUGUAGAAGCACUGGGUAAGAAAAAAUCUUUCAUUUGAAAAUGUGCUUUCAGAAAUAAAGCCAUUUCAGAUGGAAGUGGCACAGAUAUAAUGCCUAGUGGGGGCUGUAUCCUAUCUUUCAGCUAGCGAGUCUGCUUGCCAGUUACAAUUCCUAGUGUUCUUUUUUUUACCAUGUUGUAGUACUGUUAGCUGUUCAGUAUGACGUAAAUACUAGUGAAUGCCAAGCUUUCUUUGCCUUUUCAGCUGCCAAGGGGCUUGCUUAUUUUGGUUCCCAGUACUUUUAUUAAACAUUCUGUGCAAGUGGAUUUGAGGACUGUACCCUUUCUAUUUGCCCAGAAAGAAAUCUCUGAUUCCUAAAAUUACAGGGUGGCAGAAAAUACAUUUUGAAUAACAAACUGUAUUGCAGGAAUAGUGAAAAUUUCACCUUCUAAUAUCAAAAGAUGGAAAAGUAACAGUGCAUGUGACUGCACAACAGGGAUCAUAACAGCAUGUGAUAUAGACAGACCUUUCUGUCACUGCUUAUGGACCCACAGAAGUUACCAUAUGCAAAGCAGAUACAUGGUUUUUCAUUUCUAGCAGACAGGAAAGUAUUUCCUCAUGUUCUAUUCCCUUAUUUUUACAAUGUAUGAACUAUGCUUCUAUGAUUAAACAUAUUCAGAUGUUAGCUACAAUUAAAAACAUUUAAAUGCGAUUUGUGAGUGUAUCAAGAG